CUUCUUCAGCCACCCAGGAUUCAUUGUUGUUGUGGGCAAGUGUUGUGUGCAGGUGUGUUUUCGCGGACUGAACGUCUAGUGUUUCUCCAGAGGAGAAAAAAAGGCCAUUCUUUAUACAAAAUGAAAGCCUCUAUCACUACGAGAAGGAAGCCAUAGUUAACUGUCACGUGAUUGGAAAGCCAAAAACUGGAAGAAUCCUGCAGCAUCUUGGGUAAUGUGGUUCUUACGCCAUGUAUCGGAAAAUUCUACCUCAGUGUUUCUUACGGAUAAACUUCGUUAAAAUGUGUGUGUAAUUGAAGUCAAAAGUAGCAAUAUUAACAAAAAA
Molecule: long non-coding RNA, 325 nt
Organism: Xiphophorus couchianus (Monterrey platyfish)
Lineage: Eukaryota; Metazoa; Chordata; Actinopteri; Cyprinodontiformes; Poeciliidae
Exons: 2
Source: RefSeq, a predicted model, not a curated record